RNAcentral lists this non-coding RNA (950 nucleotides) under Lophocebus aterrimus (Black crested mangabey). RNAcentral's name for it is "12S ribosomal RNA". It matches the Rfam family "Bacterial small subunit ribosomal RNA". Lineage: Eukaryota; Metazoa; Chordata; Mammalia; Primates; Cercopithecidae. The record is from RNAcentral.
AAUAGGCUUGGUCCUGGCCUUUCUAUUGACUCCUAGCAAGAUUACACAUGCAAGCAUCUCCGCCCCGGUGAAGACGCCCCCCCCAAUCAACAUGACCAAGAGGAGCAAGUAUCAAGCACGCACACGCAGCUCAAAACACUUUGCCUAGCCACACCCCCACGGGAGACAGCAGUGACAAACCUUUAGCAAUGAACGAAAGUUUAACUAAGCUAUGCUAUACUAAGGGUUGGCCCAUUUCGUGCCAGCCGCCGCGGUUAUACGAUUAACCCCAGCCAAUAGAGACCGGCGUAGAGGGUGUUUUAGAUCUAAUCCAAUAAAGCUAAACCCCAUCUAAACUGUAAAACUCUAGCUGACGUAAAACAAACUACGAAGGUGGCUUUAUAAUUUCUGAACACACAAUAGCCAGGACCCAAACUGGGAUUAGACACCCCACUAUGCCUGGCCUUAAACCUCAAUAGUUAAAACAACAAAACUAUUCGCCAGAAUACUACAAGCAACAGCUUAAAACUCAAAGGACUUGGCGGUGCUUCAUACCCCCUAGAGGAGCCUGUUUCAUAAUCGAUAAACCCCGAUCCACCCCACCCUCUCUUGCCCAGUCUAUAUACCGCCAUCUUCAGCAAACCCUGACAAAGGCUACGAAGUGAGCGCAAAUGCCCUUACCCGCAAAAACGUUAGGUCAAGGUGUAACCCAUGAGACGGUAAAAAAUGGGCUACAUUUUCUACCUCAGAAAACCCCACGAUAGCUCUUAUGAAAUCUAAGAGUCCAAGGAGGAUUUAGCAGUAAAUUAAGAAUAGAGUGCUUAAUUGAACUAGGCCAUAAAGCACGCACACACCGCCCGUCGCUCCCCUCAAAUAUAUUUAAGGAAUAUUUUAACUAAACGCCCUAACAUCUAUAUAGAGGGGAUAAGUCGUAACACGGUAAGUGUACUGGAAGGUGCACUUGGAUAAAU